AUGUCCGGAGCUGCGCCAUGGACGUCUCCUUCGACUAGUGUUACCGGUUCGAGCGGGGACGAACUACAUCGCCGGGAUCGACGCGUCUUCCUCGCCUAUGACCGCCACUGCCCCGCGCUCGAUCUACCUCACCGGAGCUCCUCCGCCACGCCGGCCGCGUCCUCCGCUCCCCCCACACCGAGACCGACGCCGCUGCUACCCAGUACGACUACGGAGUUGAUGACCCCUCCUUCUUGCCAGAGCAAUCAGAUGCCGGGGCCCAGGAGCCAGACGCCACCGUCGACGACGACUCCUACUACUCUGGAGGUGCCUACUACUACGUGCAGGCCGCUGACGACGACCAGGGGUAGUUUAGGAGGAUCCCAGGCAGGAGGCCUGUGCCUCUUUCGAUCUGUAUCCCAGUUUGUGCUAGCCUUCUUAAGGCAAACUUGUUUAACUUAUGUCUGUACUCAGAUAUUGUUGCUUCCGCUGACGCGUCUAUGA
This 483-nucleotide ribosomal RNA is filed under the name Triticum aestivum (bread wheat). RNAcentral's name for it is "partial small subunit ribosomal RNA". The record is from RNAcentral. Lineage: Eukaryota; Viridiplantae; Streptophyta; Magnoliopsida; Poales; Poaceae.